CACUUCGCCAUUUUCCUCCGGAAGUGCGGAUCCCAGCGGCGGUCGUGUAGCUGAGCAGGCCUGGGGCUUGGUUCUAUGUCCCUGUAGUGUCCUCUGGGUGUUUCCAAGAGCAACAAGAAACGAAUAAAUCUCUGCCCCGCAGCGCCUCCACCCCAGAGACCCGGACCAAGUUCACACAGGACAAUCUGUGCCACGCCCAGCGCGAGCGCCUGGACUCGGCCAACCUGUGGGUGCUGGUGGACUGCAUCCUUCGCGACACCUCCGAGGACCUGGGACUCCAGUGUGACGCCGUGAACCUGGCCUUCGGGCGCCGCUGUGAGGAACUGGAGGACGCGCGGCACAAGCUGCAGCACCACCUGCACAAGAUGCUGCGGGAAAUCACAGAUCAGGAACACAACGUGGUGGCACUGAAGGAGGCCAUCAAGGACAAGGAGGAACCUCUGCACAUAGCCCAGACCCGGCUGUAGUUGCUCUCACACCGGCCCAACAUGCAGCUGUGCCGCGAUGCAGCCCAGUUCAGGUACUGCCUGGGCCUCUGAGGCAGUCCCAGGUGCCCCCAUCCACCUCCUCGCUGCGACCCUCUCCAAUAAACACUCCAAUCUCCACACACACAUCCCCCACAGGUGCUGAGAGGGGAGGGAGACUCUGCGGCCACACACAACAUGCAAGCACGCCUUAAACACACAGAUAUAGACAUGACACUGGGCAGGUCAUGGGUCGGGGGCCUCCCCGUGCCAGGGACCUGUGCCCACGUGGUCUCACCCCACCCUGUGCUACCUCAUCUUCCCGGGAGGAAGCUCCUUCAGACAAGGUGAGCUCCUGGAGGCCACGGGGCCAGAGAGGCCAGAGAGGGCCAUUCCCUGCUGCCCUGAGGGUGCUGUCCCCACCUCUGGUGGAAAGUAUGACCUACGCCUGGGCUACAGGCAUAGAUGGGCCGUCCUUUUGUUUCCCUUGUUAACGGAUGCCUGGUGGCCCCUUCUGAGCCUAAGUACCUUUCUUCCUUCCCUGCCCCUCAGUUCCUUCAAGGAACUGGGUGCCUCCUUCCGUCAAAUAUCAGGAAUGGAAAGAACUGAGCCUGGUCGGCUGAGGCCAGUCCUGUCCUGUCAGGGUCGAGAUUGCACGCGGGUCACUCAUUCCCACUCAGGCCCGCGCUCCCUGGGAGGACCCUCGUAAUUUAUGCUCUGCCCUAGAGCCGCUUUCCUGGUAGGAUCCUUUCAUGGCGUCUUCCCAGGACCUCCUGCCAGCUCCCAUUGGGAGUUUUGGGUCCCCUCCACCCCAGUAGGUGCAUACUUCUGCCCUCCCCAGCCCCAGCUCACACCCCCCAACACCCCCAAGCUGGUGAGUGAGGUGGAGGAGCUGUACAAGUCCAUCACAGCGCUGCGGGAGAAGCUUCUACAAGCGGAGCAGUCCCUGCGCAACCUCAAGGACAUCCACAUGAGCCUGGAGAAGGACGUCACUGCCAUGACCAACAGUCUCUUCAUCGACCGCCAGAAGUGCAUGGCCCAUCGUACUUGCUACCCCACCAUUCUGCAGCUGGCUGGCUACCAGUGAGCAGCGGCACGGUGCUUCCCCCCAAUCCCCCAAAUAAACAGUGCGUUAGCUUUCUGCA
Long non-coding RNA from Homo sapiens (human), 1609 nucleotides. Ensembl annotates it as tektin 4 pseudogene 2. Its record names the gene TEKT4P2. Lineage: Eukaryota; Metazoa; Chordata; Mammalia; Primates; Hominidae. The record is from Ensembl.